RNAcentral lists this ribosomal RNA (301 nucleotides) under uncultured bacterium. RNAcentral describes it as "partial 16S ribosomal RNA". It matches the Rfam family "Bacterial small subunit ribosomal RNA", at positions 509 to 809 of the family's 1533-position model. The record is from RNAcentral.
CAGCCGCCGCGGGAAUACGAAGGGGGCUAGCGUUGUUCGGAUUUACUGGGCGUAAAGGGCGCGUAGGCGGACUGAUAAGUCAGGGGUGAAAUCCCAAGGCUCAACCUUGGAACUGCCUUUGAUACUGUUUGUCUUGAGUUCGAGAGAGGUAAGUGGAACUGCGAGUGUAGAGGUGAAAUUCGUAGAUAUUCGCAAGAACACCAGUGGCGAAGGCGGCUUACUGGCUCGAAACUGACGCUGAGGCGCGAAAGCGUGGGGAGCAAACAGGAUUAGAUACCCCCGUAGUCCCUGUCUCUUAUAU